UGGCGGGUGCUAUACAUGCAAGUCGAGCGAAUGGAUUAAGAGCUUGCUCUUAUGAAGUUAGCGGCGGACGGGUGAGUAACACGUGGGUAACCUGCCCAUAAGACUGGGAUAACUCCGGGAAACCGGGGCUAAUACCGGAUAACAUUUUGAACCGCAUGGUUCGAAAUUGAAAGGCGGCUUCGGCUGUCACUUAUGGAUGGACCCGCGUCGCAUUAGCUAGUUGGUGAGGUAACGGCUCACCAAGGCAACGAUGCGUAGCCAACCUGAGAGGGUGAUCGGCCACACUGGGACUGAAACACGGCCCAAACUCCUACGGGAGGCAGCAGUAGGGAAUCUUCCGCAAUGGACGAAAGUCUGACGGAGCAACGCCCCGUGAGUGAUGAAGGCUUUCGGGUCGUAAAACUCUGUUGUUAGGGAAGAACAAGUGCUAGUUGAAUAAGCUGGCACCUUGACGGUACCUAACCAGAAAGCCACGGCUAACUACGUGCCAGCAGCCGCGGUAAUACGUAGGUGGCAAGCGUUAUCCGGAAUUAUUGGGCGUAAAGCGCGCGCAGGUGGUUUCUUAAGUCUGAUGUGAAAGCCCACGGCUCAACCGUGGAGGGUCAUUGGAAACUGGGAGACUUGAGUGCAGAAAAGGAAAGUGGAAUUCCAUGUGUAGCGGUGAAAUGCGUAGAGAUAUGGAGGAACACCAGUGGCGAAGGCGACUUUCUGGUCUGUAACUGACACUGAGGCGCGAAAGCGUGGGGAGCAAACAGGAUUAGAUACCCUGGUAGUCCACGCCGUAAACGAUGAGUGCUAAG
This 800-nucleotide ribosomal RNA is filed under the name Bacillus cereus. RNAcentral describes it as "bacterial SSU rRNA". It matches the Rfam family "Bacterial small subunit ribosomal RNA", at positions 40 to 820 of the family's 1533-position model. Lineage: Bacteria; Bacillati; Bacillota; Bacilli; Caryophanales; Bacillaceae. The record is from RNAcentral.